UGGGGAAUAUUGGACAAUGGGCGCAAGCCUGAUCCAGCAAUGCCGCGUGGGUGAAGAAGGUCUUCGGAUUGUAAAGCCCUUUCGACGGGGACGAUGAUGACGGUACCCGUAGAAGAAGCCCCGGCUAACUUCGUGCCAGCAGCCGCGGUAAUACGAAGGGGGCUAGCGUUGCUCGGAAUGACUGGGCGUAAAGGGCGCGUAGGCGGCUUGCACAGUCAGGCGUGAAAUUCCUGGGCUCAACCUGGGGACUGCGCUUGAGACGUGUGGGCUUGAGUGGGGAAGAGGUCGUGGAAUUCCCAGUGUAGAGGUGAAAUUCGUAGAUAUUGGGAAGAACACCGGUGGCGAAGGCGGCGACCUGGUCCUUGACUGACGCUGAGGCGCGAAAGCGUGGGGAGCAAACAGGAUUAGAUACCC
RNAcentral lists this ribosomal RNA (414 nucleotides) under uncultured bacterium. Its description in RNAcentral is "bacterial SSU rRNA". It matches the Rfam family "Bacterial small subunit ribosomal RNA", at positions 355 to 787 of the family's 1533-position model. The record is from RNAcentral.